GACGAACGCUGGCGGCGUGCCUAAUACAUGCAAGUCGAGCGAAGUUUUUCUGGUGCUUGCACCGGAAAAACUUAGCGGCGAACGGGUGAGUAACACGUAAAGAACCUGCCUUAUAGACUGGGACAACUAUUGGAAACGAUAGCUAAUACCGGAUAACAGCAUUAACUGCAUGGUUGAUGUUUGAAAGUUGGUUUUGCUAACACUAUGAGAUGGCUUUGCGAUGCAUUAGCUAGUUGGUGGGGUAAAGGCCUACCAAGGCGACGAUGCAUAGCCGACCUGAGAGAGUGAUCGGCCACACUGGGACUGAGACACGGCCCAGACUCCUACGGGAGGCAGCAGUAGGGAAUCUUCCGCAAUGGGCGAAAGCCUGACGGAGCAACGCCGCGUGAGUGAAGAAGGAUUUCGGUUCGUAAAGCUCUGUUGUUAGGGAAGAAUGAUUGUGUAGUAACUAUACACAGUAGAGACGGUACCUAACCAGAAAGCCACGGCUAACUACGUG
RNAcentral lists this ribosomal RNA (499 nucleotides) under uncultured bacterium. Its description in RNAcentral is "partial 16S ribosomal RNA". It matches the Rfam family "Bacterial small subunit ribosomal RNA", at positions 28 to 507 of the family's 1533-position model. The record is from RNAcentral.